UUUCUCCUACGGGACGCAGCAGUGAGGAAUAUUGGUCAAUGGGAGAGAUCCUGAACCAGCCACGCCGCGUGAGGGAAUAAGGCCCUACGGGUCGUAAACCUCUUUUGCCGGGGAGCAAGGGCCGGGACGCGUCCCGGCCCGGAGAGUACCCGGAGAAAAAGCAUCGGCUAACUCCGUGCCAGCAGCCGCGGUAAUACGGAGGAUGCGAGCGUUAUCCGGAUUUAUUGGGUUUAAAGGGUGCGUAGGCGGGCUUUUAAGUCAGCGGUAAAAAUUCGGGGCUCAACCCCGUCCGGCCGUUGAACCUG
This 305-nucleotide ribosomal RNA is filed under the name uncultured bacterium. RNAcentral describes it as "bacterial SSU rRNA". It matches the Rfam family "Bacterial small subunit ribosomal RNA", at positions 333 to 635 of the family's 1533-position model. The record is from RNAcentral.